Molecule: transfer RNA, 77 nt
Filed under: Allomuricauda sp.
Lineage: Bacteria; Pseudomonadati; Bacteroidota; Flavobacteriia; Flavobacteriales; Flavobacteriaceae
Description: tRNA-Met
Rfam family: tRNA
About the family: Transfer RNA (tRNA) molecules are approximately 80 nucleotides in length. Their secondary structure includes four short double-helical elements and three loops (D, anti-codon, and T loops).
Source: RNAcentral
CGCGGGAUGGAGCAGUCCGGUAGCUCGUCAGGCUCAUAACCUGAAGGUCGNAGGUUCAAAUCCUNCUCCCGCACCCA